GACGAACGCUGGCGGCGUGCUUAACACAUGCAAGUCGAACGGAAAGGCCCUGCUUUUGUGGGGUGCUCGAGUGGCGAACGGGUGAGUAACACGUGAGUAACCUGCCCUUGACUUUGGGAUAACUUCAGGAAACAGGGGCUAAUACCGGAUAGGAGCUCCUGCUGCAUGGUGGGGGUUGGAAAGUUUCGGCGGUUGGGGAUGGACUCGCGGCUUAUCAGCUUGUUGGUGGGGUAGUGGCUUACCAAGGCUUUGACGGGUAGCCGGCCUGAGAGGGUGACCGGCCACAUUGGGACUGAGAUACGGCCCAGACUCCUACGGGAGGCAGCAGUGGGGAGUAUUGCACAAUGGGCGGAAGCCUGAUGCAGCAACGCCGCGUGCGGGAUGACGGCCUUCGGGUUGUAAACCGCUUUCGCCUGUGACGAAGCGUGAGUGACGGUAAUGGGUAAAGAAGCACCGGCUAACUACGUG
Molecule: ribosomal RNA, 468 nt
Filed under: uncultured bacterium
Lineage: Bacteria
Description: partial 16S ribosomal RNA
Rfam family: Bacterial small subunit ribosomal RNA
Source: RNAcentral